RNAcentral lists this transfer RNA (60 nucleotides) under Dipodomys ordii (Ord's kangaroo rat). It matches the Rfam family "tRNA", at positions 7 to 64 of the family's 71-position model. Rfam says of the family: Transfer RNA (tRNA) molecules are approximately 80 nucleotides in length. Their secondary structure includes four short double-helical elements and three loops (D, anti-codon, and T loops). Further hydrogen bonds mediate the characteristic L-shaped molecular structure. tRNAs have two regions of fundamental functional importance: the anti-codon, which is responsible for specific mRNA codon recognition, and the 3' end, to which the tRNAs corresponding amino acid is attached (by aminoacyl-tRNA synthetases). tRNAs cope with the degeneracy of the genetic code in two manners: having more than one tRNA (with a specific anti-codon) for a particular amino acid; and 'wobble' base-pairing, i.e. permitting non-standard base-pairing at the 3rd anti-codon position. Lineage: Eukaryota; Metazoa; Chordata; Mammalia; Rodentia; Heteromyidae. The record is from Rfam by way of RNAcentral.
GUGGCUCAGGGGUAGAGUGCUUGCCUUGCAUGCAUGAGGACCUGGGUUCGAUUCCUCAGC